ACCCGGUGAUCUAGCCAUGGGCAGGUUGAAGGUUGGGUAACACUAACUGGAGGACCGAACCGACUAAUGUUGAAAAAUUAGCGGAUGACUUGUGGCUGGGGGUGAAAGGCCAAUCAAACCGGGAGAUAGCUGGUUCUCCCCGAAAGCUAUUUAGGUAGCGCCUCGUGAAUUCAUCUUCGGGGGUAGAGCACUGUUUCGGCUAGGGGGUCAUCCCGACUUACCAACCCGAUGCAAACUACGAAUACCGAAGAAUGUUAUCACGGGAGACACACGGCGGGUGCUAACGUCCGUCGUGAAGAGGGAAACAACCCAGACCGCCAGCUAAGGUCCCAAAGUCAUGGUUAAGUGGGAAACGAUGUGGGAAGGCACAGACAGCCAGGAUGUUGGCUUAGAAGCAGCCAUCAUUUAAAGAAAGCGUAAUAGCUCACUGGUCGAGUCGGCCUGCGCGGAAGAUGUAACGGGGCUAAACCAUGCACCGAAGCUGCGGCAGCGACACUAUGUGUUGUUGGGUAGGGGAGCGUUCUGUAAGCCUGCGAAGGUGUGCUGUGAGGCAUGCUGGAGGUAUCAGAAGUGCGAAUGCUGACAUAAGUAACGAUAAAGCGGGUGAAAAGCCCGCUCGCCGGAAGACCAAGGGUUCCUGUCCAACGUUAAUCGGGGCAGGGUGAGUCGACCCCUAAGGCGAGGCCGAAAGGCGUAGUCGAUGGGAAACAGGUUAAUAUUCCUGUACUUGGUGUUACUGCGAAGGGGGGACGGAGAAGGCUAUGUUAGCCGGGCGACGGUUGUCCCGGUUUAAGCAUGUAGGCUGGUUGUCCAGGCAAAUCCGGAUAAUCAAGGCUGAGGUGUGAUGACGAGGCACUACGGUGCUGAAGUAACAAAUGCCCUGCUUCCAGGAAAAGCCUCUAAGCAUCAGGUAACAUCAAAUCGUACCCCAAACCGACACAGGUGGUCAGGUAGAGAAUACCAAGGCGCUUGAGAGAACUCGGGUGAAGGAACUAGGCAAAAUGGUGCCGUAACUUCGGGAGAAGGCACGCUGGUGUGUAGGUGAAGUCCCUGCGGAUGGAGCUGAGACCAGUCGAAGAUACCAGCUGGCUGCAACUGUUUAUUAAAAACACAGCACUGUGCAAACACGAAAGUGGACGUAUACGGUGUGACGCCUGCCCGGUGCCGGAAGGUUAAUUGAUGGGGUUAUCCGUAAGGAGAAGCUCUUGAUCGAAGCCCCGGUAAACGGCGGCCGUAACUAUAACGGUCCUAAGGUAGCGAAAUUCCUUGUCGGGUAAGUUCCGACCUGCACGAAUGGCGUAAUGAUGGCCAGGCUGUCUCCACCCGAGACUCAGUGAAAUUGAACUCGCUGUGAAGAUGCAGUGUACCCGCGGCAAGACGGAAAGACCCCGUGAACCUUUACUAUAGCUUGACACUGAACAUUGAGCCUUGAUGUGUAGGAUAGGUGGGAGGCUUUGAAGCGUGGACGCCAGUCUGCGUGGAGCCAACCUUGAA
RNAcentral lists this ribosomal RNA (1494 nucleotides) under Klebsiella pneumoniae. RNAcentral describes it as "bacterial LSU rRNA". It matches the Rfam family "Bacterial large subunit ribosomal RNA", at positions 720 to 2196 of the family's 2925-position model. The record is from RNAcentral. Lineage: Bacteria; Pseudomonadati; Pseudomonadota; Gammaproteobacteria; Enterobacterales; Enterobacteriaceae.